RNAcentral lists this non-coding RNA (24 nucleotides) under Arabidopsis thaliana (thale cress). Lineage: Eukaryota; Viridiplantae; Streptophyta; Magnoliopsida; Brassicales; Brassicaceae. The record is from RNAcentral.
AGAAAAUCCAAAAUCCAAACCCUA